AUUGAACGCUGGCGGCAGGCCUAACACAUGCAAGUCGAACGGUCACAGGAAACAGCUUGCUGUUUCGCUGACGAGUGGCGGACGGGUGAGUAAUGUCUGGGACACUCCCUGAUGGAGGGGGAUAACUACUGGAAACGGUAGCUAAUACCGCAUAACGUCGCAAGCCCAAAGAGGGGGACCCUCGGGCCUCUUGCCAUCGGCUGUGCCCAGAUGGGAUUGGCUUGUUGGUGGGGUAACGGCUCACCAAGGCGCCGAUCGCUACCUGGUCUGAGAGGAGGACGGGCCACACGGGAACUGGGACACGGUCAAGACUCCUAGGGGAGGCAGCAGUGGGAAAUAUUGGACAAUGGGGGCAAGCCGGAUGCAGCCAGGCCGCGGGGAGGAAGAAGGCCUUCGGUUGGUAAAGUACGUUCAGCGGGGAGGAAGGGAGUGAAGUUAAUACCGUUCGUCAUUGACGUUACUCGUAGAAGAAGCACCGGCUAACUCCGUG
RNAcentral lists this ribosomal RNA (490 nucleotides) under uncultured bacterium. Its description in RNAcentral is "partial 16S ribosomal RNA". It matches the Rfam family "Bacterial small subunit ribosomal RNA", at positions 29 to 507 of the family's 1533-position model. The record is from RNAcentral.